Molecule: unclassified non-coding RNA, 347 nt
Filed under: plant metagenome
Description: partial contains 5.8S ribosomal RNA, internal transcribed spacer 2, and large subunit ribosomal RNA
Rfam family: 5.8S ribosomal RNA (bases 1-107)
Source: RNAcentral
GAAAUGCGAUACUUGGUGUGAAUUGCAGAAUCCCGCGAACCAUCGAGUCUUUGAACGCAAGUUGCGCCCGAAGCCUUUCGGCCGAGGGCACGUCUGCCUGGGUGUCACGCAACGUCGCUCCCACCCCAUUGAGGGGGCGGAUUCUGGCCUCCCGUGCGCCGGUCGCCCGCGGUUGGCCCAAAACCUAAGUCCCUGGCUGCGAACGCCACGACAAUCGGUGGUUGUAAGACCCUCGGACACGGUCGUGCGCGGACGCAUGCCCCGAAACAGCGAGACCCCGAUGCGUCGCUAAGGGCACGCUCCCACCGCGACCCCAGGUCAGGCGGGACUACCCGCUGAGUUUAAGC